CAAACGACUCUCGGCAACGGAUAUCUUGGCUCACGCAUCGAUGAAGAACGUAGCAAAAUGCGAUACUUGGUGUGAAUUGCAGAAUCCCGUGAACCAUCGAGUUUUUGAACGCAAGUUGCGCCCGAAGCCUUUUGGCCGAGGGCACGUCUGCCUGGGCGUCACAC
This 164-nucleotide ribosomal RNA is filed under the name Senecio oxyriifolius. RNAcentral describes it as "5.8S ribosomal RNA". It matches the Rfam family "5.8S ribosomal RNA". From Rfam's summary of the family: 5.8S ribosomal RNA (5.8S rRNA) is a component of the large subunit of the eukaryotic ribosome. It is transcribed by RNA polymerase I as part of the 45S precursor that also contains 18S and 28S rRNA. Functionally, it is thought that 5.8S rRNA may be involved in ribosome translocation. Lineage: Eukaryota; Viridiplantae; Streptophyta; Magnoliopsida; Asterales; Asteraceae. The record is from RNAcentral. RNAcentral also lists the same sequence under 4 other names.